Molecule: non-coding RNA, 481 nt
Organism: Phyllostomus discolor (pale spear-nosed bat)
Lineage: Eukaryota; Metazoa; Chordata; Mammalia; Chiroptera; Phyllostomidae
Source: the annotation of a RefSeq genome assembly
CCUCAGGGCACGCCACCUGACCCCGUGUUUUCCUGCGUCUGCCAUGGGCGCCGCAGCCAUCUGCUCCAUGGUCCUCUGUCUCCUGGGUGCAGGCUCCCUUGACGCAGCAGAAGUCACCCAGACCCCAGGGCACCUGAUCACAGGGAAAGGACAGAAUGUGAAAAUGUCUUGUGUCUACCCACAGGGACAUCGUUAUGUUUACUGGUACCAACAGAUCCUGGCAAAAGAGUUCAAGUUCUUGGUUUCCUUCCAGGACAAAAAUGUUUUUGAAACAGAAAUGCCCAAGGACAGAUUUUUAGCUGAGUGUCCCCCAGACUCACCCUGUAGCCUGGAGAUCCAGGGUGUGGAGCUGCAGGAUUCAGCCACGUACCUCUGCGCCAGCGUUGAACGCACAGUGCUAAAUAUCAGCUCUGCCUGCUGCACAAACUCACCCUGGGCCCGGCUCGGGGAGCAGGUGGUGCACCAGGUCAGAAGGCGAUGA